AAGAAACUGGCAGAUUAUCUGAAAGUGCUUAUAGACAAUAAACAUCUCUUAAGCGAGUUCUAUGAGCCUGAGGCUUUAAUGAUGGAGGAAGAAGGGAUGGUGAUUGUUGGUCUGCUGGUGGGACUCAAUGUUCUCGAUGCCAAUCUCUGCUUGAAAGGAGAAGACUUGGAUUCUCAGGUUGGAGUAAUAGAUUUUUCCCUCUACCUUAAGGAUGUGCAGGAUCUUGAUGGUGGCAAGGAGCAUGAAAGAAUUACUGAUGUCCUUGAUCAAAAAAAUUAUGUGGAAGAACUUAACCGGCACUUGAGCUGCACAGUUGGGGAUCUUCAAACCAAGAUAGAUGGCUUGGAAAAGACUAAUUCAAAGCUUCAAGAAGAGCUUUCAGCUGCAACAGACCGAAUUUGUUCACUUCAAGAAGAACAGCAGCAGUUAAGAGAACAAAAUGAAUUAAUUCGAGAAAGAAGUGAAAAGAGUGUAGAGAAUCUUGCUCUCUGUCACCCAGCCUGGAAUGCAGUGGUGUGAUCUUAGCUCACUGCAACCUCCACCUCCCGGAUUCAAGCGAUUUUCCUGCCUCGGCCUCCC
Molecule: small RNA, 579 nt
Filed under: Pongo abelii (Sumatran orangutan)
Lineage: Eukaryota; Metazoa; Chordata; Mammalia; Primates; Hominidae
Description: processed transcript
Source: RNAcentral